This is a long non-coding RNA of Myzus persicae (green peach aphid), 2577 nucleotides long. RefSeq lists it as uncharacterized. NCBI's taxonomy places the organism in Eukaryota, Metazoa, Arthropoda, Insecta, Hemiptera, Aphididae. The record is from RefSeq and is a predicted model, not a curated record. The transcript has 4 exons.
CAAUAUGGAGUGGGUUUCAAUAUUUUAUAUUUCUUAUAAAAUAAAUAAUAAUGAAAAAAUAAAGAGGUGAAAGGCACUUAACACCAAUGGUCUCGCCAUUGCAAAGCUGUUACCAAUGAUGGGUUAAAUAAAGACGAAACAUUUAUUGAAUAGAUUUGUAAGUUAUUUGUUAGUUAACAUUUUAAUGUUGUACAAAGAAAAUUUAAUAUAUGAACAUAUUGUAUUACAUAAAUUUCAUUAUUUUUAAUAUACUAUCAUGAUCACAAUUAUUUUAAAGAAAAGAGAAAUGGUGAUGCAUUAUAAGAGAAAAAUUAUAACUGCAAGCUAAACAAAUUAUUGCAAUUACAAUAUGAAACGUUCACUGAAAUGUUCACCAUGUAUAUUGUAUAAUAUGAGGCAAUAUACAUAUUACAAUAGUAAACUUAAGACAACAAAAUAACUAAACAAAAUAAAAUGUUAAAACUUGAAGCAAGUUUAUUUGUAUAACUAUAGUGUAAACUAAGUAAUAGUAGUAGCAAUAGUAGUAAUUAAACUGUAUUUAAGUAAUGUUAUUAUUUUAAAAUUUUAAUCUAUAAUAUUGACUAUCAAAUUAAAAAAUAAUGAUUAACGAUAUUAUGCAUGAUACGCCAUGGUUUUGAUGACAAGAACAUUUAGAUUAAAAAAUCUACCACUUCAUUGAUACCCUUAUCUCGUACCUCCCACUCUCAGACUUUACUGCAUACGAAUGCUUACAGCGCUACCGGUGUUUUUUUGGAGUAUUAAUGACAUAUUUUUGUAUGUGGUUCUUCGUUUCUGUGAUAAGGCAACUCUUGUAAUAAUAAUAUGAUAGUGGGUUACUGAUAAGACGCUGACGCUAGUGACGCUAAUAUUAAAAUGGAGCACCAACCAGAACAAAGUUACGAAAAUGUUUAAUGCCACGUAGGUCGUCGGUGUUGAAGUCGGGCACUGUCGCCUUGAGAGCCGAGACUACAAGUUUAGCGUGACGCCAUUUUUUUUUACAAAUUUUAGGUUAAUAAUUGUUAUGUCAACCAACUACAGGUCACAGGAUGAAGUUUGGAGGUACAUUAUUUAAGCGAACUCCAAAUAAAUAGAUGGUCAAAAACACGUGCACAAGAUCGAUCUGCUUUUGAAAUCAGAACCAUUGUCGUGAUGAAUGUAUAACUGUUAUUGUAUAUUUUUUAAUUUGUAAUCAUAUUAUAUUAUUUUGGUGUCAAUAAAAAUUAUUAACAGUUAACCUAUUGUUUUUAUUAUUUAUUUCGGCACCGCGGAGCUACGUCGUCCGACUGCUGUCCGCUGUGCACGCUGCCCUGUCUCGCGAGCCUUGUAUCGUAUUUCGAAUAGAAAAACCAUACGCCGCGGACAGUUUCGACACCUAACCUAACCGAUCGCGGUACAAAGGCUCAACAUUCGCUGACCACGAUCUGCCGACAAAAUUCCCGAGUUGGACCGAGGUGCGCUCAUGGACCAUGGUCGUGACUCUGAACCGUGCAAAUCGACUUUGGUCGGAGACUCGCCGCAACGCGCCGGCGGGAAAAUUGUUUCGUCUCACCGCGUCGUCGCGGUGGAGGUAAAUCGUGUCCGGCCGCUUUCUAUCUCCGACGCCACCGCGCUGCAGUCUGCCCACCGUCGAAAAGAUUCCAAAGAAGUUACGUUUUAACUGUUUAUGCUGACAAAACACCUACUGCGCAGUAAUAAAAAAAUUAUAUAUUUGCCUUCAGGAGCUGUAACGCAUUGCCCGGUGUGGGGUGGGUGGGGGUAAGUGUAGGUCACAAUGGUCACAUAGAUAUAGCGUUUUUUCUUCUCGAAAAUCUUUUGACGCUUGUCCGGUUUCAUUGGCAAAUUAUUAGCAAUUGACAUUCGUUGAAAAUUUAACAGGACGCAGUCCAAACACAAAACCCCAAAGAAUUCUACCCGGAAAAUGGCAAUGGGGACGAGACAAACAGAUAUAGGCUGAAUGAAGUUACAGGCAUUGGAUUAAGUCCAAAAGUGUUUUUGUUAUACUUUAGGACAUUGGAAUACACCUAUGUAGAAGUGGCAAAAUAUACAGAAUACAUAUAAUAUAUUAUAGGGCAGUGUUCGGAACGUCCAAGUUUUUUGAAAAAAUUGAAUGCGUUCGCUGGGUCUUAUUAAACGGUAAAUUAAUUUAGCAAUUCAUAUUCAUUAAAAUAUAAACGUCGUUCACACUCACAUUCAAUUUGAAAUAAAACGAGUAAUGUCCGAGUAUUGUUCACUAGAUAUAAACGUGAACGUGCUUUCAUGAACGACGAUUCCAUCCAAACACUGCCAACAGGCUGGUUUUAGAAUAGCUGUAUUGAACAUUUUAAAAUAAAGUGCCUUUUAUGGUUAAAUAGUAUUAAUAUUAUAUAAUAUUAAAUUAUACUUUAUAAUGUUUUGAAUGAUUUAUUUUAUUAGACGAUAGUUUUAAUUUUAUUAUUACAAAUUUAGAUUAAUAUGUAAUUGACCAGAGAUCCUGGUUGGACAUGAUACUUAUAGCAUACAAUUAAUAAAUAAUUAGAAAUUAAUUAAAUAAAGGAUGUAUACAUUUAAUUUUUGAGAGACUUUUUGAAUUACAUUUAU